RNAcentral lists this ribosomal RNA (447 nucleotides) under uncultured bacterium. RNAcentral's name for it is "bacterial SSU rRNA". It matches the Rfam family "Bacterial small subunit ribosomal RNA", at positions 355 to 825 of the family's 1533-position model. The record is from RNAcentral.
UCGGGAAUUUUGGGCAAUGGGCGAAAGCCUGACCCAGCAACGCCGCGUGAAGGAUGAAGUAUUUCGGUAUGUAAACUUCGAAAGAAUGGGAAGAAUAAAUGACGGUACUAUUUAUAAGGUCCGGCUAACUACGUGCCAGCAGCCGCGGUAAUACGUAGGGACCAAGCGUUGUUCGGAUUUACUGGGCGUAAAGGGCGCGUAGGCGGCAAUUCAAGUCAUCUGUGAAAUCUCCGGGCUUAACUCGGAACGGUCAGAUGAUACUGCUUUGCUAGAGUGCAGAAGGGGCAAUCGGAAUUCUUGGUGUAGCGGUGAAAUGCGUAGAUAUCAAGAGGAACACCUGAGGUGAAGACGGGUUGCUGGGCUGACACUGACGCUGAGGCGCGAAAGCCAGGGGAGCAAACGGGAUUAGAUACCCACGUAGUCCCUGAGCGGGCUGGCAAGGCGCAU